This is a long non-coding RNA of Cyprinus carpio (common carp), 929 nucleotides long. The record is from Ensembl. NCBI's taxonomy places the organism in Eukaryota, Metazoa, Chordata, Actinopteri, Cypriniformes, Cyprinidae.
AUGAGAGUGCAAGUGCAAGUCUGCAGCCAGACCCUUUUUGAUGUGAAUGUGCUACAAAGUGAGUAUCAGAAAACACAUCCAGACCUGGAGUGUCAAAGACCACAUGGCAGGAACAUUCUCCCGGAGACGUUGAAAAAGCAUGGAAGGAAUGUAUGUGGAGGAUGUACUCAAAAAACACCCAUACUUAAGAACACCUGCUGGAGGGGACCCUGCUACACCUUUCCUACGAUACAGCUGAUGGAUACUGACUGUAAAAUGGCAAUCAUAGGAGGAGGGCUCAGUGUGGUGACAGAAGAUGGAAUAGACGUGUGCCAGUGCACCAGCCUUGAUGAAACCUUAAUAACAGCCUUCUGUAUCUAUUUUGCUUUCAGCAUUGCAUAUCCAACACACCUGAGAAAGACACUGACUUUCCUUUGUCAACACUAGAAGAUGGAGACAAGCACUGCCAGUAUCAUUGACUGGAAGUCUAUCAGUCCAGAUGUGAGGAGGACACACAGAGUGGAGUUGGAGCUCAGCAGGUGUGAUGGCUGUAGAUACUGUUACAAUGGAAAGAAGGGGGUCUUCACAGCUUUCUAUUCAGACAAAGAGUUUGCUGGAUUCUGUUCUAUGGACUGCUACUACAGAAUGAAUGAAUGAGUGGUUUAUCUAUAUAUCUAUCUAUCUAUCUAUCUAUCUAUCUGUCUAUCCAUCCAUAUUUUACUUGAAUUGGCGACUGAAACUCAAGGUGAAAUAAGAGGAUAAAGCUGUCUGUUUGCUUAAUUGGUAAAUGUCAGGUAACAUAAGGUUACUAAACUUCUGACUAAUUUUUAAAUUUGAUUAUUGAGUGGUUUUGUCAACUAUAUAUUUUUCUCUAUCAGGCAAAACCUAGUUUUCAGGGUAACACUUUACAAUGAGGUUUCAUUUGUUGACAUUGAUGUAUUAACUAUGAG